GAUGAACGCUAGCUACAGGCUUAACACAUGCAAGUCGAGGGGAAACGAUAGAGAAAGCUUGCUUUUUCUAGGCGUCGACCGGCGCACGGGUGAGUAACGCGUAUCCAACCUGCCCACCACUUGGGGAUAACCUUGCGAAAGUAAGACUAAUACCCAAUGACGUCCAUAGAAGACAUCUGAAAUGGAUUAAAGAUUUAUCGGUGAUGGAUGGGGAUGCGUCUGAUUAGCUUGUUGGCGGGGUAACGGCCCACCAAGGCGACGAUCAGUAGGGGUUCUGAGAGGAAGGUCCCCCACAUUGGAACUGAGACACGGUCCAAACUCCGACGGGAGGCAGCAGUGAGGAAUAUUGGUCAAUGGGCGAGAGCUUGAACCAGCCAAGUAGCGUGCAGGAUGACGGCCCUAUGGGUUGUAAACUGCUUUUAUAAGGGAAUAAAGUGAGUCUCGUGAGACUUUUUGCAUGUACCUUAUGAAUAAGGACCGGCUAAUUCCGUGCCAGCAGCCGCCGUAA
Molecule: ribosomal RNA, 508 nt
Filed under: uncultured bacterium
Lineage: Bacteria
Description: partial 16S ribosomal RNA
Rfam family: Bacterial small subunit ribosomal RNA
Source: RNAcentral